This 440-nucleotide ribosomal RNA is filed under the name uncultured bacterium. RNAcentral describes it as "partial 16S ribosomal RNA". It matches the Rfam family "Bacterial small subunit ribosomal RNA", at positions 338 to 795 of the family's 1533-position model. The record is from RNAcentral.
CCUACGGGCGGCAGCAGUAGGGAAUAUUGCUCAAUGGGGGAAACCCUGAUGCAGCAACGCCGCGUGGAGGAUGAAGGUUUUCGGAUUGUAAACUCCUUUUGUUAGAGAAGAUAAUGACGGUAUCUAACGAAUAAGCCCCGGCUAACUACGUACCAGCAGCCGCGGUAAUACGUAGGGUGCAAGCGUUACUCGGAUUCACUGGGUGUAAAGAGAGCGUAGGCGGGAUAGCAAGGCAGAUGUGAAAGCCUAGGGCUUAACCAUAGAACUGCAUUUGAAACUGUUAUUCUAGAGUAUGGGAGAGGUAGGCGGAAUUCUUGGUGUAGGGGUAAAAUCCGUAGAGAUCAAGAGGAAUACUCAUUGCGAAGGCGACCUGCUAGAACAUAACUGACGCUGAUGCGCGAAAGCGUGGGGAGCAAACAGGAUUAGAUACCCGGGUAGUC